RNAcentral lists this ribosomal RNA (237 nucleotides) under uncultured Desulfomicrobium sp. RNAcentral describes it as "partial 16S ribosomal RNA". It matches the Rfam family "Bacterial small subunit ribosomal RNA", at positions 1147 to 1382 of the family's 1533-position model. The record is from RNAcentral. Lineage: Bacteria; Pseudomonadati; Thermodesulfobacteriota; Desulfovibrionia; Desulfovibrionales; Desulfomicrobiaceae.
GACUGCCCGGGUUAACCGGGAGGAAGGUGGGGAUGACGUCAAGUCAUCAUGGCCCUUACGCCUAGGGCUACACACGUACUACAAUGGUGGGUACAAAGGGCAGCGAAACCGCGAGGUCGAGCGAAUCUCAAAAAACCCAAUCAUAGUCCGGAUUGCAGUCUGCAACUCGACUGCAUGAAGUUGGAAUCGCUAGUAAUCCCGGAUCAGCAUGCCGGGGUGAAUACGUUCCCGGGCCUU